CUGGCAGCCUCCGACCACAACGCUGCCGGAUCUAACCAACCAAUAGGUGCUCGACGCCGCUCCUCAGGACCGCGUCGGUCUUCUUCGUCUGCUCUCUCUCUCCCUCAACCUCCCACGGCAUGUAUCGGCCCCUUCUGAAACUCCUCAUCCGAGUGGCCACCUGAUGCCGCCGUGUAGAACACGCUCACUCCUGCCUUUGCCCGCCUGUACCAGGAUUUGCUCCUGUGGUUCAAGUUGAAUACCGGGGAGAUGGAGAUGGUGACAUGGCUGGCUUCUGUGGUGGUGAGGUUCAAGUUCUACAACGAGGUGGCCGUUGGGCCUAUCUGAAGAGCAACAAUGUAACGCUUUUGAGCUUAGGUACAAGAAGUCGUAUUUGAAAGGGGACGAGAUGAUGUUCAUCAAAAUGAAACUGACACAUUUAGUUAUGCGCCAAUUUAUUUCUAGACAACAUGAGCAUGGAGAAACAUAUAUGUGAAAGGUUGGUCUAUCUGAAGAGCAACAAUGUAACGCUUUUGAGCCAGCGUACAAUGGCUUUCAAGACGCAUGCUACGGAUAACUUGCUUCGAGUCCUGCUCUUUUUAUUUGAGGUGUUUUCUUAGCUUACCACGUUGCCUAGGUGGUACUAUUGUAGUAUAUAUAAUGUAUGCACCUGCUUGUGCCCUAUUUUCCUAGAUGUGGCUCAUAACUUAGAAAUCUAUCUUUUGGCUGUUUUCUUUACACUAAAUCCAUCUUAAUUAAGGUGCCAGGGGAAAUUUUUUGUUGAAUUCAUAUAGGCAAAUAUGUUACUAUAAUCAAUUACAAUAAAAUCAUUUGCACAGAGAAAAUUUCAACAUUAGACAAUAUGAUUUGGCAUGUUUGACCCUCUGUCAGGCAUCCUCCUUUCUAGCUUUUGUUUUUCCCUGUAAUGGCUUUGCCUCUUUUGGUCCUGAACUUUUGAGACCAUGAUGCUUUUGAGAAUGUAUGGAAAGCUU
Molecule: long non-coding RNA, 971 nt
Organism: Triticum aestivum (bread wheat)
Lineage: Eukaryota; Viridiplantae; Streptophyta; Magnoliopsida; Poales; Poaceae
Exons: 3
Source: RefSeq, a predicted model, not a curated record